AUGGACUCCCGUUCCUCGCCGGCCAUCAAACCUGCCCAGUAUGUCAAUGUUGAUGAACCAGAGAUCGUCGGCAAACAAGAUGAGAAGGAACAAGUGGUAAAGAUAUUGCUCGACCACUCCCACAACAACAGUGAUAAUAAUAACGUUAUGGUGCUCCCCACCAUAGUUGGUAUGGGGGGAAUUGGUAAGACCACCCUUGCUCAACUUGUGCACAAUGAUCAAAGAGUGGUGCAUCAUUUUGAGUUGGUUAUAUGGGUCUGUGUCUCUGACAAAUUUGUUAUCGAAGAAAUAAUCCGGUCUAUAAUACAAGUGGCCACGAUGAAGAAGUGUGAUUUGACUAACAUGGAGGCACUGCAGAAGGAUCUUAUUUGGGUGUUGGGCAAGAAAAGGUACCUCCUAGUGCUAGAUGAUGUUUGGAAUGAAGAUAGAAAGAAGUGGAAUGAUGUGAGAUCAUUGCUAUGUUCACAUGCUGGCUCGGGUAGUGCUAUACUUGUGACAAGCCGCAGUGAUCAAGUUGCUUCUAUGAUGGGCACACUUCCUUCGCAUCAGAUGUCACUUCUAAAUGAGGAUCUAUCAUGGCAGCUUUUCACAGAAACAUGUUUCGAAGAGAAGUAG
RNAcentral lists this ribosomal RNA (615 nucleotides) under Triticum aestivum (bread wheat). RNAcentral's name for it is "partial small subunit ribosomal RNA". The record is from RNAcentral. Lineage: Eukaryota; Viridiplantae; Streptophyta; Magnoliopsida; Poales; Poaceae.